Molecule: long non-coding RNA, 2660 nt
Organism: Mus musculus (house mouse)
Lineage: Eukaryota; Metazoa; Chordata; Mammalia; Rodentia; Muridae
Product: predicted gene, 31640
Exons: 3
Source: RefSeq, a predicted model, not a curated record
AAUGGGAGCCAUGGGUAGAGCUUGGAUCCUAUCCCCUCAGAUGGAGGGCAAAGAAGCAAACAGAAAGGGGCAGAGAUACCUCAGUUAGACUUGGUCAGGGCGUGGUCAGGGGUGACUGACAGGCAAGGUGUGUCCAAGCACCUGCCAGAGCUGCUGGUGUUCUGUGUGGAUGUGCAAGUACACACUCGCUCUGCAGCUUGGCUCCAUCCCAGCCUGGAGAUAAUAAUGGGUGCCAUGGCACACUGGCACAUGCACACACAGAGAGAUAUAAAAAGAAACUCCCAACUGGGUGCAGUGCCUUGCCUCUCCAGGUGAACUCUGACUGGCCCCGUCUCUGACGUCUCAGGCUGACAGCUCUUCCUCAGGCUUCAUCCACACCCCUGCAGGAGCUACUUAGGCUCAGCCAGGCUCAAGAGCUUCCCUCACCAGCCUCUCUCACCACCUGAGGAGGAGGCAGCAGACCGAAAGGCUCACAGAAGAACUUCUGGAGACUCUCUGGAGAGCUGGAGCCUGGCAAGGCUGCUUCUAAGGAACUCCUACAGAGACUGAGCCCCGUACCCCUGUGUAACGUACCCUGGAGUAAACCACUUACAUCUCUGAAAACCCUGGGAUCUGCACGCUGGGGAUCUGUCUGCACAUCUCAGGAUGGUCACCAGCACAGUCAUGUGACAGAGAAAGCUCAGUGUGGCACAUGGACAAGAUGGAAAGAACCAAGCAGUGAAGAUCCAUUGAACUGAACUAUUCUGAUUGGUUUGAUCAGUGGUUCUCAACUUGUGGGUAGAGAGCUCUUUGGGGAGGGGGGUGUCAUAUCAGACACCCUGCCCUCAGAUAUUACAUUACAGUUCAUAACAGUAGCAAAAUUACCGUUAUGAAGUAAUAACAAAAAUAAUUUUGUGGUUGGGAGUCAGCACAACAUUUGAAACUGUAUUAAAGGGUCACAGUGCGAGGAAGGUUGAGUUAAGGGGAAAUUUAAGGUUUCUUUGGGAAGUCAGUUGUGUCAAAUGGAGUUUUGUUCGGGCACACACAUGAAGGAAUGUUUUCCUGAAGCAGACACAGGUGAAAGGAUGUUUUGCUAAAGCAAGCACAUGAAAGGAAGUGUGAUAAAGGAUUCUGUGCUAAUGACACACAUGUAUUGGUUCGCCUUACAUUGCGUUAUUGAGCUCCGUUUGUCAUGACUCCAUAGAGAGAAACACACCAAAAUACUUUGGUGGUAUACUGGCCACUUCUUGCUGCUUCCCAAGACUUGGGCCACUUGGCGGAGUGAUGUCAGCUGACUCAGACUCCCAUGGACUUUUGCUAAGACAGACUCACUUGGGAAGACAAUGGGCAGCUUGUAGCACUAGCUUUGCAAUGCCUCUUGGUCUUGCAUCACUGCUGAUCUUUGCUUUGUUGAGGCAUGGCAGAGAACUUCUCCUGGUGUCCCUGGUGGUCUUGGUCGCUUCCACUGGUUCGUGCAGAUUUGGCUGAGGUCUGACUGUUUCUGCUAGGUCAUGCUACCGCUGCUGAUUCAUGUUUGCUAUUCCAACACUACUGGACUGGAUGGCGGAUGUAUUCGUAAAGUAUUUGCAAGUGGAUUGAGCUGCUGCCGCUAACUGUUGAUUUCCUGACAAUGCAGAUGGGAUUUGCUCCAAAGAACAAUUUCUAAACAGGCCCACUUUCUCCAGAUCCUAGUAACCGUUCUUUCCCAUUACCUCUGGUGGGUGGUGGGCUAGAAAGGAGGUUAAAGCACUUAAGAACCAUUGUUAAAAUCAGGGUUGAGAAAAUUUAAGCUUGCAGUUGAGGACCACUGGGUGAGAUCCUAGAUUUGGGUGACAGCAGUGCUCUCCUCGUUUUUGUCUUUUGACUUGUACUUGUGGAAUGCCAAUGAGCAUUAGCUGAAGAUUGACCAUAUGCUAGAUUAUUUCCUUUCAAAGCCUGGUCCCUGGGCAGAUUCUCUUAGACCCUCCAGAGGUCAGGGACAGGCCUAGCGGGAGUUAAUCACUGAUAUCCAGUCAAACCUCUGUGCUAAGGAUCUCACCUAAGAAAGCUCAGGAACUGGGACUGAUGAGAUGGCUCAGCUGGGAAAGGUGCUGCUACCACCCCAGACAACCUGACUUCAAUUCCCAGGGCCUGUGUGGUAGAAGGAGAGAACAGACUUUUCUCUGACCUCCUUAUGUUUAAUAUGGCAUGGAUGUGCACAUGUGCACACACACACAAAUAAAUAAACAGAAAUACACCAGUGUACAAAAUCAUAAAUGUUAAAAAGAGAGAGAGAGAGAGAGAGAGAGGGAGAGAGAGAGAGAGAGAGAGAAAGUCACAUGACGCCACACAGGCCUAAGGAUUUUGGAUUUAGUAUCCCUGAAUUACAGAUAAAAACAUAAAGUGUGGAGAAAUUAGUGAACAGCUUAGAAGGAGGCCCAGGGUCUGUGCAGCCCACCCUUGUCCCUCAUAGCUGCAAAAAGGGUCAGCAAGGGUCACUGUGAGAACCAGGUUUUCUCCUGGGUUAAUGGAUAUGAAAGCUAGCCCUUUGUUUGUUUUUGUUAUUUAUUUAUUUAUUUAUUUAUUUAUUCCCCUUCCCUUCUCCCUCUUGCUCUAGCCCCACUCGUUUCCAACCCAUAGGUUUUUUAUUUGUUUCUUAUUAUGGAUGGUUGUGAGCCACCAUGUGGUUGCUGGGAUUUGAA